UACGUAGGGCGCGAGCGUUGUCCGGAUUUAUUGGGCGUAAAGAGCUCGUAGGCGGUCUGUCGCGUCGAUCGUGAAAACUUGGGGCUUAACCCCGAGCUUGCGGUCGAUACGGGCAUGACUGGAGUUCGGCAGGGGAGACCGGAAUUCCUGGUGUAGCGGUGAAAUGCGCAGAUAUCAGGAGGAACACCGGUGGCGAAGGCGGGUCGCUGGGCCGAUACUGACGCUGAGGAGCGAAAGCGUGGGGAGCGAACAGG
This 254-nucleotide ribosomal RNA is filed under the name uncultured bacterium. Its description in RNAcentral is "partial 16S ribosomal RNA". It matches the Rfam family "Bacterial small subunit ribosomal RNA", at positions 524 to 776 of the family's 1533-position model. The record is from RNAcentral.